Molecule: long non-coding RNA, 8744 nt
Organism: Diceros bicornis minor
Lineage: Eukaryota; Metazoa; Chordata; Mammalia; Perissodactyla; Rhinocerotidae
Exons: 3
Source: RefSeq, a predicted model, not a curated record
AGAGCUGGUGCAGGGGGCGGCAGUGUGGUCCCAGCUUCCUGUAUCUCUUUCCAGGCCCGUCGGCCCCGGGCCGGGAGACAGAGGCGCUUUAGGCUCCGAAAUCUGAGGCCGGGAGGGAUGAGAGUCGGGGCUAGAGAGCCCUUAAGGAUAAUGUCUGUAGCCGUGAAGGAGGCCGCUGGCGGGUUUGUGUGGCCUCGUACCCGAGUCGGCGGUUUUUUCCGUUAUGAGGGGGGGAAAGGAUUAAAAAUGGCCGCUGCGUCCCCUCGGUGUUGGGGGAGGGGAGCGGCAUCUUAUUUCGCCGUUGCUCUCCUGCGAAGCUUCCCGCAGCCAUCUUGGGCUGGCGGGCUGGGCGCGCUGCCAGGGACACAAAAUGGCGGAGGAGCCGCGCGUCGAUGCGGGCCGACCCGCCGCGGGCCCGCGCCUCACAGGGCCGCGUGGGGGUGGAAGAAGAAAGGCGACGUUGUUGAGGAUCUUUCGGUCGGCUUUUAGGCUGAGAAAGGAUGGAAUCGAGGGUGUUCGUGGGGCCUCUUUCAGGAUGGGGGAAACUAACCGGACAUAGACGGAGUUCUGGGCGCGUUAGUGUGAGGGGAUUCCGCGCGGGCUUUGUGUUUGGCCUAAACCGAGUCCUUUUCUUUGAUACCGAGAGGGCCUUCAAACCAAAAAUAGUUAUCAGGGUAUCCGAAUAGAAUAGACCACGAGAUCUCUGAGGUUUUUUUGUUUUGUGGAGUAGAUAUUUUUCUCGGGGUCAUGUAGGAGAAAUUGGCGGGCAACAAUUUGUGGCGCCGUUAUUUCCUUUGUUUUGAGGCAUUCUAAUUCUGUGAACCACAGCCUCCGUUGCAGUUUUUUGGUCUCCACCUCCCAGAAAUGGAGUUUGGAGAGGGUUGGUUAGACUGCAGGAACAGGACAGUCUGAGGCUUAAACACCGUGAUGUAAAGUUUGGUUGCUGGGCUGUGGGUCCUAAUGAAGGUGCGAAAAUAACGAGGCUUGGAAGAAAUCUUGCAUAUUUGGAGGUUAGGAAGAAUUUUUUAGAAUGUUAAAAAAAAAAAAACCAUAGAAAUUGACUUUUUAACUUGAUAGGAGUAAAUAGGAGGUUUUUGCAGUUUACUACUUUUAAAUUUUCCUUUUCUGGUAGAGCCACUUUAAGAUGUCCGUGGUAAACGUCAGAUAAACCUAUUCGAAUUUUUAGCAAACUCAUGUAAAACAUUUUGCGUGGUUCGUUAGAACGAUGUUUUUAGAAAGGAGCUUCCUGUCUUCUUUCCUGGAACCUUAGUGAACUUAACUGUGUAAUUUCGGAGCCAAAUCUGGUUAAUUUGGUUUGACCUAAUUAGGCCUCGCCUUUACGUAUUCAGUGAAUGUUGGCUUUUUAUGUUUUUCCCUAAGACGAUUGAUUCCAGUGUCACCCGUGUGUGUGCGAUUAUUUUUAAGCUCUUUCUUACAGUGAAAGUUUGGGUUAAGCCUCACAAGUUGCUAAAGCUUUAGCUUCUGGUUUUUGCGAGUUAAAUAUACUGAACUAGUCUGUGUUUGGCCUGGAAAGCAAAUGAUAAUUUUAAGUCUUCGGUUGUUAAAAUAAUUAUUGGGUGUUUUUGCACCAUUUAGGGAAUACAGAAUGACUUGUUUCUGACUAGAUCUUUCUGUUGAAUAUACCUGAAUAAAUUACUUGUGAUAUGCUUGUGAAGAUGAAAAAUUGCCUAAAAAAAAUAAAUUACACGUAAAGGAGGAAACGAUUAUAGGAAGUAUGCCCUGGUUUGAGACAAUUCAAGAGAUGUCAUCCCGUUAAUGAGAAAUUUUUGAAUUGGUUGCAUUUUUUUUCUACUAGUAGAAUAUAUAUCCUAGUGUUUUUCACUAUUCUGUUACGUAGAAUAUUCAUUAAAUAAUCAUGGAAGGAGAGAAAGUUAUAAAGCUCGUGUGAGAAAUUAUUUUAUUUCUUACGUAAGUGUCUUGACUUCCUGGAAGAGAUUCUAAUCUUUGAAGUUGUGGAAUACUUCCAUAUUGUUUUGUUUGGCGUUUGUUUUGUAUGUUGAUUGCUUUCCAGUUGGUGCUUUGGAACCUGAAGUGGUUAGAAUAGACAGAAAACAAACAAGUUUGGAAUCCCAAAAAUGCUUGGCAAAACCAUAAAGCUCAAUGGAAUUGUUUAAAUGUAAUGCCAUAAAAAAGGCUAGGUAGAACAGUUGGGUCUGAUUGGCUAAAAACUUCCUUUUGAAAGUGCCUGAAAGUGAAAAAGUUGCAUUCAGGAUAAUCUUGAACAUCCCUGGUAUGAAUAGCUUCUCUGGAGCCUGAAAAAUUACUUUGAUUCCUCUCUAGGCUGUCAAACAUUCUGAAUGGUUGAUGUAAAUCACUAAUACAAGUCCAACUGUUAUCACUGAUACAAAUCUCUUCAGUUCAGCUGGAAUUUCCCUCUCAUUUAUCUAAAUCUCUGAUCCAGACACUCCCGUACACUCCCCCCAACUAACCAGAAGUAUUUUUUCCACUCAUUUAGAAGUUGUUCCUUUCCUAAACAAACUGAUUGUGUAUGUGCAAUAAAUUAUCCUCAGUUUGGUCACUCAUAGAGUAUUCACUUAUUGGGUGAAUAUAUUGAUACUUAGAACUGUGGUUCAGUGUGUCCCCUUGUCUCCUUUUAAAUGCACAGCUAGGGGCGUGAAUUUUUGUGGUUCGUGUCACUUAGUUUGGGCAGAGUCUACUUUUCACCUUUAUCUGAAUUUUUUCAUGUCAAAGUUAAUCUAAAUUAAAAUCUCUCUAAUUAGAGUUGACUUUCCCGAUCUGGCAAAAUCCAUACAAAAGUAAAAUACUUUUCAUCUCCAAGUUAGAGUCUCUUCCAGUAUGUUCCAAAAAUUGCCUGCAAACAUUUUUCUGCAAAGGAGUUGACUAGCGCUUUUGCAAAAAGAGGCACUCGUAGAACUUAAUGUCACAAUUUGGAAGAAUAAGGACAGGAUAAAGAGUUGGUAGUAAGUUUAGAGAUGUAUGGUAAUAUUGGGAGGUAAUAAAUGUUUAAGGUCCAAUAAUGGUCAUAGUAUUUAGUGUAUGUGAGAUUUGUAUGUUUGGUCUUGGCACUGGUUUAAUGCUCUUUCCUCGUAAUGGUUUCUUGAGCUUCUACAAAUGAGUCUUGACCUAGAAAAUCCAGAAACUAAGGGAAACACUAUUGUAUGGAUAGAUGGUUUUAAUUUGUGCCAGACUACCAAGAUUACAAUGACAAGCAGUUUAAGAAGAUAUUCUGAUAGAAUAUUGGCUAUUAUUUUUGUAGAAGUAAUAAUGUUUGCAAUAUAGGUACAUUAUCUUUAGUCUUAUUCUCCAUAGAGAUGAAUAGCAUCUGGAUGCCAUCCCAUCAAACUGCCUUUCAGAUUCUGCAGUUUUCCUCCUCUUCUGCUUAAUCUUGGAUUAUCUUUUUGUAUUCUUUGUUUUUAGCCCCUAAUUCUAAAUUCUAAUUUUCAAAACUGAAACAUCUCAAUCUAUUUCUUUCUAAAGAAUUGUAGCCAUCACACCAAAUUUCUUUAGUGAAGGAUUGAAUUAAUGUCAAGUGGGAGGAAGUAGUUUGCACUGUUUUGUUUCACUGUGAGUCUGGUUAGGUGUGAGUCUCUUGAAGAAACCAGGUUGAAGAAUAUUUUUCUUGGUUUUAACUAAGGAUGCUUUAAUAUUGUGGAUAUUGUCUGGAACUAGAAGGUGGCAUUUUCAAACUCAAAUUACGAGGUUAAUGUUGAAGAAGGAAAAUGCGGAAGUCGUCAUUUGACAAGUUUUAUAAAUGAGUAUUUGAAGCUCAGGAAUAAGUGAAGCUGAAAUUUGAAAAAAUAAAAGAAAGAAUGCAUGCUAAUUAUCAGACCAGAAGUCCCACUUGUAGAAUAUUGAGCAAUUUGUGUGAAGUGGGGAAGAUGAAAGAAGUCAGAAUUUGAAACGGAAGAAUGAAGAAAAGAAAUAAAAAUGAAGUUAAGAUAAGAAGUAAUCUGGAAUCAGAAAGCACUACGCUAACUAAAUAGAAGAGGAGUCAGAUGAUUGGUGUGAUGUUGGUACUUGGAGUUGAACGGGACAAGUACACGUGUCAGAAUAAUACCCAGUAGUAGCCAACCAACAGCUGUCUUCUACCCUAUUGGAAAAGCCAGGGGUAUCACCUUUUCCUAAAAUGAAGACAACAUAAAAAAUCUCUCUCUGAGAGUUGUCAGAUCUUACAACUCUUGGAAAAAGUAGUUUAAAUGACAUUUCUGGAAGGAUUCAUGUUUUUCAGGUUUUAGGAUCUAAUGUCAAUGUGAGGCUUGUGCUUUUAACAAUAUUUAUAUUUGUAUCUCGCAAGCAGAAGAAAAUUAUUCCCAUUUAUAGGAGACAGUUUCCAGCAUUUGCUUUGCCCCAAUUAUUGCUUUUUAUAAUUUCUUGCCAUGUAUAAACUAAUAAUAACAUUGAAUUAAUAGUUAGGUUUGCAGUCUGAAUUAAUUACACAUUAGGCAGAGAGCUGAGGUGAAAGUUAUGUGAAUAGAUAUUAUUUUUCUGUUCAAACCCAUGCAUUCUUUAACAAGAGACUUGAAAGGUUCUUGGGGUCCAAAAGAGAAAAAGACUUAUUAGCCCUCUAAGGGGAAGAAAGGAGUUUGAAAUUUGAUUAUAUGGCCCAAACUGAAUAGAUGUAAGGCAAAAAUAAACAUUGAUGCUAGUGAACCAUCUCAUCCUUCAGGGUGGUUUUCCCCUUGACCAAAGCAUCUCUGAGUGCCUCCUCCCACACCUGGCAUUGGAGAGGUAAGGGGGAGACAGGCCUCUUGUCCUGGGGCAGGCAGUAAGGUACAUGCCCCAGGAGGGCUGAUUAAUGCCAGGGGCGGGUGGAGCAGAGAAGAUGACAGAAAAAGGUUCCAGGAAGAUGCCUUUGCCGAGAAAAAUCAGAUAGGUAGGAGGCAUAAAACUUCUGAAAUUGACUAAAUCGGUGAGAGUUAACUGACAUCACAAGCACGUACGGUGCUUUUAAUAAGUGUAGGUGCCUGACUCCAGACCUACUAAAAUAAGCUGCAGUGUAGAGACCCCUGUAAUUUAAAUGCUGUGUAGGUUUACUGCAUACCUGUUUAAGAGCCACUGUUCUAAAUCUCAGUUACUGCAUCCAGUGUUUAAAGUAAUACAGGAAAAACCUACCAAUUAGAUGGUUAUUCCCACUUCUGUCAUCUCUUUCAAAGAGUUUUUCUAAGGUAAUACUGUUCUCAGAAUAGGAAGAUGCAGAUGAAGGUAUUUCAUUGGAAGGCUGAGUUUUUUUCCUGUUGUGUUUCCUGUAGGUUAUAUAUUAGUAUAUGACUAAGAGCCAUUCUAUAAGAACUUGGUUCCCUGAGCAGUUUUCAGGGUAUUUUUGGCUUUAUUUUAUUCAUGCUAACUUCAAGUCCAUGAUCCUUUUCCUUGAAGUAUUGAUGUCCAGAGUAGUGCUUCUUUUGGUAGGGUUUUAAUGUGUUGACAAUGUUUUGUCAAACCUGAGAGUGGACUUUGAAUUUGCCUUGUGUGUAGCUCCUUUCUUGGCUGGUUUUACAGAUUUGCCUGUGGAUUAAGGUUUAAAGUUAAUUUUAUGCUCUUAGAUUUGGCUAAUAAUUUUAGAUCUCAUUUCUUCUAGACAGGCUAAAUUUCCUUACAUGUAUUUCCAAACCAGCUAAUGGCCAACGUAACUACAAAGGAGUUUAACUUCUCUAAGAAUAUCCCUGACAAGAAAUGUAGGAGGUGGAGGCAUUGUUUAGGUGCUAGUCUGUCAGCAUCAAAGGGAAAAUCUUUGCAUUCUGGUGUUUCUCCUGUUCCCAAUCUAAGAAAUGAUUGCUUGUGAAUUGUAUCUGUAUAUAGCCAGUUAGGUUUAGAGGCUGAGUGAAAAAAGUCUUAGAUACAGUAUCUGUGAAAUUAUCCUUUGAUCCUUGUUCUGCUAGAAUUUCAUGGGGAAACCUCAUUAAGGCUUAUGUCCCAGGCUAGAUGUACUCUCUCUUAACCUCUUAGUGGUUAAGCAUCUCAGCUUGGAAGAAGGCUUUUCUGUUUAAUGAAGCAAGAGGCUUAAAAGGGGAUGUUGACUCUUCUUUUAUAUUCAGAUCCCUAGGCUGACUGAUUUCUGUUAACUAUAAUUACUGUAUCGGUAGUCUUUUAACUUUUAUUGUGAGGCACUCAUACUCUGCUCUCACUUUCAGAGCAAAUUGUUUUCUUUGGUUUCCGUUAAAAGUUACAGCGAUUCCAUGACGUAAUCUUUCUAGCAUUGUAAUAAAGGUAUUUGUAACUUUUGGGUCCCUAUUUCUAUCUUCUUUUCUAGGUUAGCUUUUGCCUAUGGUCAAGAUGACAGAAACUGCAUCCCCAUUUUUGAGAAAACUUCUUUGUCCAAGGAGAGAAGGGAGGUGAAUUGUGGUUUUUUUUUUUAAUUUCAGCUAUUCUGAUAGGUAUUCUGAUGGAUACCUCAUUGUGGUUUUUUGUUUGUUUUGAGGAAGAUUGGCCCUGAGCUAACAUCUGUUGCCAGUCUUCCUCUUUUUCUUUUUUCUCCCCAAAGCCGCAGUACAGAGUUGUAUAUCCUAGUUGUAAGUCCUAGUUCUUCUGUGUGGGACACCACUUCGGCAUCACUUGAUGAGUGGUGAGUAGGUCUGUGCCCAAGAUCCGAACUGGCAAACCCUAGGCUGACAAAGCGGAACGCAGGAACUUUACUGCUGCGCCACCGGGCCAGCCCUGAAUUGUGCUUUUAUUUAUUUAUUUUUAAUAAAAACUUUUUUCUUUCUUUUUUUGAGGAAGAUUAGUCCUGAGGUAACAUCUGUUGCCAGUCUUCCUCUUUUUUUUCCCCAAAGCCCCAGUACAUAGUUGUAAGUCCUUCUGGUUGUUCUGUGUGGGACACCACCUCAGCAUGGCUUGAUGAGCAGUGAGUAGGUCCACGCUCAGGAUCUGAACCUGCGAACCCCGGGCAGCCAAAGCAGAAUGGGCAAACUUAACCGCUGCGCCUUGGGGCCGGCCCCUGAAUUGUGCUGUUAAAUGUCUUAGUGUUCAGAAUAUUUGCCAGAGAAAGCCAAGGGAUUGUUAAUUGGGGUACCCAAAGCCAUAAUACAUCUUUUAACCAUUCCUUGGUGUUAAAGGUAGCUGUUCUCAUAACAAUGAAGAGUGCCAUCUUUUUCUUUGAAUCUCUUUAUAGUCAUUCAUGAGGGGAAGGAGACCAGGGUGUCACAUUUCCUGUCACUUUACACCAUGUUUUCUAAUGACUUUGAAAUCUUAUUGGAAGGUUUCUAGAGUUGUUUUGGGCCUAGAGACCAGAACUCAUUUUACCAGCUGAGUUAUUCUUUUCUUUCCUGUUCUAAACUUCAAACUUUAGUUUGUCUCUUCUGUGUUGCAUAUAAAUUUUUUCCCUGAGCAUCAUAGGAAGGCUCUUCCAAAUUUUCUUCACUAGGCUUUAAAUCACAGAACAUAUUCUAAAAUGUUUUGGGCUAUAAUUUAAAAUAAUCUUGUGUCUUCUUUCCUUUCAAGAGUGGCCAGAAUAUUCUGAAGGUCUGCCAUAGAGGAAGGUCCCUUGUGAUAAGUGUUAUCCAGCAGCUUCGACCCUUACAGUGAUUUAACGUUGGUCCGUUUUGAAUCUGGCCUUUUCUGCUCUGUUGUGGGUGGAAGGGCUCACUGGACUGUAUGCCUUUUAAUUUGCCUCAAGUAGAGAACCUGAAAUAUUGUUUUGCUUGAUAAUACCUUAGCUAUCAGACUGAAUGGGUUCUCUCUCUCUCUCCACUGUUUCUGUUUUGGUGCCUUGGCAGAAUGUUUUCCUGGUUCCAUUACUUACUGUAUAUGUAUGCCUUUGGCUCAUUGAUGAACUAGUUAACCCUGUAUACUCAUUCCAUUGUUAGUUUUCUUUAGAGAUCUUCCUUGUUGUGCCACUUGCCUACCAGCUAGUCCCAGUUUUGAUUGGGAAAUCUGUGGGUAUAUAGUAUAUAACUAGACUUUUGUUUUUGCAUACAGUUCUUGAACUCCUUCUCUUCCUGAGCCAAGGUUAGGAGCCUCUGGUUUAAUCUUUUCUGGGUUUAAUGUCUUUUAUGUAACUUUUCUAGCUUGCUUAUUUCCAGUUCCCCAUCAGUUUUCGCUCGCUCAUCUCCAUUUAGCUGAGGAAGUUAAAUGUACAUCUCUGGUACCCUCUCUACCCUUAUUGCUGCACAGUUCAGUGCCUUUGUGCUGUAGCUCCAUCUGGUUCCUUUGUUUGAGAUUCUUAUGGGCCUCCCACCAUGGUUAGAUGGAAAUAGGGUCUUAAUAGGCUCUAGUGUUUUUCAAGCUGGUCCUUGCUUUCCACUAGGUUUCUACCUUUCUCUAGGACUUGAAACAGAUCAUCCUUGUCUCUUUUCCCACUCAGCAAUAAAUAUAACUUGAAAAGUUGAGGUCUUAUGAAAAAAGCAUUUUUAAAGUAAGUUUUAUGAAUCUCAUAGAGUUCUGUUUAUUGAUGGCAACUUGACUGAAAUAGGUAUAAAGUAUAGGUGUCGUAGUUAAUAAGGUUCUUUCUCACCCUAGUCUUUACGGAGUAACAUUCCCAAAACAAUCCUUGGACAGUUCCCUUAACUGCUUGGCUUUGGCACCCCUUUCUGAAGAGAGUGGGGUCAGUUAACUCUUAAUCCCUGCUCCAAAAAAGGUGGCAGUUCAAGUUAAUUGACUUAUGUCAAUUGGAGCAAUGUAAUUAUUAUACCACGUAUAUUCAGUUCCUGCCCUUACCUAUGUUUUCUUAUCUUGGAAGGGGAUUGCUUUCCCUCACCAUUUACCUCACAGCAGCUUAUUUGUUUUUAAAGUUGCCCAGAAAGUAUACAAAUUAAACUUUUGACAUCUAC